Non-coding RNA from Picea glauca (white spruce), 72 nucleotides. NCBI's taxonomy places the organism in Eukaryota, Viridiplantae, Streptophyta, Pinopsida, Pinales, Pinaceae. The record is from Rfam.
UUCAGAGUGGCACAGCUGAAGCGUGGUGGGCUCAUAACCCACAGGUCCCAGGACCGAAUCCUGGCUUUGAAC